AGCUUUGAUCCUGGCUCAGGAUGAACGCUAGCGGCAGGCCUAAUACAUGCAAGUCGGACGGUAGAGAUUCUUUCGGGAAUUUUGAGAGUGGCGCACGGGUGCGUAACGCGUAUGCAACCUGCCUUUUACCGGGGGAUAGCCCGGGGAAACCCGGAUUAAUACCCCAUAGUAUCAGGAGACGGCAUCGUUUUCUGAUUAAAGAUUCAUCGGUAGAAGAUGGGCAUGCGUAGGAUUAGCUAGUUGGCGGGGUAACGGCCCACCAAGGCGACGAUCCUUAGGGGUUCUGAGAGGAAGGUCCCCCACACUGGCACUGAGAUACGGGCCAGACUCCUACGGGAGGCAGCAGUAGGGAAUAUUGGGCAAUGGUCGGAAGACUGACCCAGCCAUGCCGCGUGCAGGAAGAAGGCGUUACGCGUUGUAAACUGCUUUUAUACGGGAAGAAAAAGCAACUGCGGUUGAAAUUGCCGGUACCGUAUGAAUAAGCACCGGCUA
RNAcentral lists this ribosomal RNA (492 nucleotides) under uncultured Flexibacteraceae bacterium. RNAcentral's name for it is "bacterial SSU rRNA". It matches the Rfam family "Bacterial small subunit ribosomal RNA", at positions 10 to 499 of the family's 1533-position model. The record is from RNAcentral. Lineage: Bacteria; Pseudomonadati; Bacteroidota; Cytophagia; Cytophagales; Cytophagaceae.